UGUCAGGUAGCUGCACAAUGCCAAGGGUCUGGCAUUUGUGUUUUAUACCUGGCAUGUGAAUGACUUCAUCACUUCUGAAAUGGAAGUAAUUUCUGCUCUGAGUCUGACAGAUGAGUGUUUGAGACCACAGGUUCUUCUAGGUUGCCUAGCGUGGUAUUGAUCUGUUAGGGUUAUUUCUGUCAUUUGAACUCCAUCAGGUCUUGGUUGUCUUGGUUUCCACAUCUGUGUUUCAUCUGUUAUUUCAUUUGGGGCACUUCUAUGUCUCAGUGUCUGGGCUAAAAACAGCAGGUGAUUUGUUCAAAAAUAUGGGUCCUCUUGCUAGUCCCACAGUCUUUCUUUUCAGCUAUAAGGUGCAUGAGGGGGUUUCAGAGGCCACAGACUUUUUCAUUCAGCUCUUUGAGCUGAACUGAACAUGAUUUUUCUUCAUCAGCUGGAUGCCUUCUCCUAAUUACAGUGAGGAAGAGGAAUAAUCAGCCUGAAGGUAUUCCUGUGCUGGUUGGACAGACUCACUUUGCAAGCCCAAACGUGAACUGAAUUCCUCUGAGAGUCUGUAAGACCAUCCGGGUCUGGAGUUCAUCACCAUUUGCCCUGAUUCUUGUUUGGCAACUUCUUGGUGGGGCUUCCUGUGACCUGAGAAGUAAGAGCAGAAGGAGAGUGAGAAAUUGAAUUUUGGUGAUCUGUUGCUAUUAUUCUUCACUGUCUCAGGCAGCUAGCCAGCCCUCUGGUAAAUGCAGUGUUGGUCAGAAAAGGGCUGUGAGAUGCAGCAGGGAAAGAGGCACUGGUCCAGUGCUGAGAAGAGUGAAUCCCAGAUGGUUCAUAGAAGGAGGCAGAUUCUCAGUAUUUAGCUGAGAAAUAACCCGGGGCCCUGACACCACAUUUCAUUCCUUGCUGGUGAACCCCUUCUGAAAGCUAAGCAUGGGGACAGCUCUCUCAGCUGGCCACAGCAAACAUAAGACUUUGGCAAAGUCAGCUCUCCUGUGCUGGCAGAGAAACACCUCAGCUGAGGAGCCACCAUACUACAGAUGCAGCGAGGCCACAGAUGGACCCCCACGUGCCAGCUUGGGCUGACUGCGUGCACAGAGCUCCAUGACAUGAGGACUUCCCACCCUAGGCUGGGCACAACUCAGAGAUCACGUUCCACCAUCAUCUGUGACUUUUCUUUGUCCCUCUUCCACUGGAGCGUGUUUCUAGUUGCCCAACCCUCCCUUGCAUCAUAUCAUCUGGGGUUCUGUUUCAUCAUCCUUAGCGUUGUCCCCAUUGCCCUGGGUGGUCCAGUGCUGGCUGCUCUUACUUGUAGGCUGUGUGGGAGUGACCUAAUUUGGAGAAAUUGUGGAAGAACAUCAGGAAGCCCACAGGGAAGUGGGGAUUUCUGUGCUCCUUGGCAGGAGCUCAAGCCACGUAUUCAUCCCCUGCAGCUUCUAGGCACUCUUCCCUGGGUCAUCUACUCCUCUAGUCCCUGUGUUCGUCUCAUCCCAAAUGCUCCUCUCCAAGGAGACAGUUUAUCUCAAGUGCUUUGGAGAGGGAGUCACUGUUCUUAAUUACUUGGCGGUACAGAGGUUUCUGGUCUCCCAUUUUCCCUUGACAGUUUUAUUAUGGAAAUAUUUUUUACUUUGGGCUCUCUCCUUUGUGUUUUUGUGUGGUGUUUACAAUAGGGGCUCUUCAGGGCUUGCUCUCAAGAGACUGGCUUCAGACAAAAUGCGCAGCUCUCUCCGGGCAGGCAAGCAGAGAAAUGCCAGCUGUUUCGUAAGGAUGCUCUCUAGUCAGUGCCAGCUCCCCAGCCUCCAGUCCUACACCUGCCUUUUCUUCUCUUGGCCUCCACAACUGCAGGAGACUCGAGGGAUGGGACCAGUCCCAUGCCGGUGACAGGUUCCUCUUUGCAGCCGUGCUCUGCUGUGAUAUUUGGGACUGCUGGGCUAUGAGCUUCAUCCCUCAUGGAACUCCUCUCUGCCACUCCACCUAAUUACUGUUCCUUAUCUACUGUUUGUACAGAGCCAUGCCAAUAGAUGGAAAGGCAUGGUACGUACCCAGCAGAUGAAGAUGGGAUCUGGAAAAUAAAUGGAAAGAGUGUGAGGUUACUCUAAAUAUUCACUUCAAAUGGAUCCCUUGAUCUGAGCCUGUUGAGGUCUGUGGCAGUUUUGCUGGAGACUAAUGCCACGAUUACUUUAUAAAGAAAUUGUAUAAAAUCCUUAAUCUUCAGUAAAUUUGGGUUAUUCCAGUUUACUAGACAAGUGCUCAAGCCUACAGCAAUCUCAUUUAGGAGGUUUAUUUUGUGCCAUGAGGGCUAAAUAUAUUUCUGAGGCACAUACUUUAUAGACUUAGACAGAAACCUCUUCUCAGUUUACAUAAGAAUAAGCACAGAGAAGCAUCAUUAACCAAAAUUAAAGUAUUGCCCUGUCUAUGAUCCUGUCCACCAUAUUUAGUUAUUUUACAUGGAAUGGGUCUGUCUCCUCUCUGUGUACAUGGUACAAGGGUAUCACCGUCACCAUGUGAGAACAGGGCUUUUAAAGUAGAUUGUGUGUACCCCAGCCCAAGCCAGUCAGCCUGCCUCAGCAGUGGAGGCUUUCAGGGAGUGGGAUCUGUGUACUGUUCAGAUAAGGAAUGAAGGUCUGUUUCAUGUUAUGUUAGUAUUUUUCACUGGUGGUGUAGUUUCUGUUAGUAGUGAUGAGUAAAGUUGAAUUGGUGGGAAUGAAGCAGAACUGGUUUCCUAGAGAAGUCCCAGUGGAUCCGUGGUGGUUGCUUUGCUAAUACUUUAUUGCUCAGAGUUGACUCACUCUGUCCAGAGGAGGCCUGAUCAGCAGUGGCAGAAUCUGCCUUGCAGGACAGAGCCUGGUGACGUGGAUUCCCAGGAUGGUGAAGAUGGCCACGUGCCAUUACCUCUGACAGUUCCUCACAGGACCUGUCAGGAAGGUUUCUGCAGCGUGGCUCUGUGGUUGCCUGCAGUUUUGGUGCUUGGGGUUUGAUAUGUGCACAAGUUUUUGUGGGUGUGCACUCAUCUGUAAGUUGUAAAUUACUGUGCUGCUCAACCAAAAGACACUGUAGCUCCUUCUCAACACCCUCGAGAACUGCUGGCUGAAAACACUACCAGCAUAAAUAACCAGGGAGACCUGCAAUUUCCCACAUCCCAAAAUAGGAAAAUGGCUUCCAUUUCUCACCAUACUUAAUUUAUUUUUUUUUUUAAAGGGGGCUUGGACUGAAUGAAUCCCUGCUUUUUGGUCUCAGCAGCUGGCAGAAACCACAUGUGUGUACACAUGUGCAGAAACAGCCACAGUGCCAGGGCUGGAACACGGCCCUGCCACCCCCUCUCUGCUGAACUGUAACUGCAGGAAUUUGUUAUGAACUUGGGGAAAGAGGAGAGAGAAGAAUGAGCUGAAGGUCACACAGGAUUUUGGUACAUGUGUGACAGAGCAGAGAGGGUGGCAUCGCUGACAGUGCCAGAAAGAAGGAGAAAGGGCCAAUGAGGGAAGAGAGAUUAGGUGUUGGUUAGUAGGAGCUUCUCCUGGAAAUUUGCUCUCCACCUAAAAGCUAUCUGUCCUCCAACAAGGCAUGCUGUGACACCCCCAAGGCAGUAGGACUGGAUACAUCCCAGCUCCUUGCAACCAGGGCAGAGUUGUUCUUGUGCCCCAGGAGAGGCAGGGCCGCACUCUUCCUUCUUGUGUGCAUCCCUGGGGGCCUCUAGCUUGGCUGUGAACUGGUCUGGGCUUCACCUUUGACCAUUUGCUAACACCCAGUGUGAGAUGCAAUGGUAGCAUGGGUUUUCCAGCAACUUUCCUCAACAGAGCUCUCACCCCUCACACCAGGAAGGCCAGCAUCUCUUCUCAGGGCUGGUUUGCAGCCAGCCCCGAGCCUGAAGGCACUGCUGCUUUGAAGAGACAGUGGCAGCACAUCUCCCAUGUCCAGAGGAAGGUGCAGAAGACAGCAGGAAGAGAUGAAAGCAUGUUGAUUAACACCCAGGACCACCUGAAAUCAGAAAGGAGGCGGGAAGCAUUAUCUCUGAGUAUCGAGGCCAUCAGGAUGGAGCUGGAGUACCUCUGAGUGGAGCAGGCAAGGACAGAGAAAAGAAAAAUGCUGGGAUUUCAGAAGGAAAAAAAAAAAUCUUUUUCAUUUUCAAUACUUACUUUUCUACCAAAUCCAAGAGUGGAAAUUGGUGAAGAUGGCUUCAUGAAGAUGGCUUGAAUGAAGACUCAUCCUAGAAGGAAUAAAAUAGGACUCCCUGUUCCGUGGCAGAGGACAAGUCCAGUUGAGAGGGGUCAGGACCUUUAGGGACAAGGGUAGUGUACGUGCCAUACUCAUGGAAAAGUGCUCUCCAGAAUCCUGGACCCUGAAGGGAUGGGAGCCCUCAGAACUCCGUAAUUUCCAAGCAGGCAGGAUGAGUACAGCAUGCAGGGUAAGUCUUAAGGGAUGUUGCCUCAGGAGAAUCCUUCUGAAAAACAGUAGUUACAGGAAUUCCUGAGCCAGGAGAUGCUUCUGGGUGACUGUGUUUAAUAAUCACCAAAGAAGCCAGUUACAGCUACAACACCUCAUCAAGAAGUUCCACUGAGCAAUAAUGAGCAUUUUUUGCCAAGAUCCAGAGAGCUCUUAGUGCUGUCAUUUUAACUACAUUUUUAUAGUUGACAGUUUUCAAAACACUAUAAAAUUAUACAAAAGUGAACUUAAUGCUGUUCUGCCUAUGCUGGACUGUGAGCUGGAGCUGAAUUUGGUGUUUCAUCUCAGCCUCUGUAUUGCUAGAGAUAAAUACUCCCAGCACCCUGAUGAUGAGCAAAAAAGCCUCACAAUCAUAAAGGAAAUUGAGAAAACAAA
Corvus hawaiiensis (hawaiian crow) is the source of this 4797-nucleotide long non-coding RNA. RefSeq lists it as uncharacterized. The record is from RefSeq and is a predicted model, not a curated record. The transcript is spliced from 4 exons. NCBI's taxonomy places the organism in Eukaryota, Metazoa, Chordata, Aves, Passeriformes, Corvidae.